AUUGAACGCUGGCGGCGUGCUUUACACAUGCAAGUCGAGCGGCAGCACGACCUUGGUUGGUGGCGAGCGGCGAACGGGUGAGUAAUACAUCGGAACGUACCUUUUAGUUGGGGAUAACGCAUCGAAAGAUGUGCUAAUACCGAAUAAUCUCUGAGGAGGAAAGGCGGGGAUCUCGCAAGGGACCUGUCGCUGAAAGAGCGGCCGAUGGCCGAUUAGCUAGUUGGCGGGUAAAGCCCACCAAGGCGAUGAUCGGUAGCUGUUCUGAGAGGAAGAUCAGCCACACUGGGACUGAGACACGGCCCAGACUCCUACGGGAGGCAGCAGUGGGGAAUUUUGGACAAUGGGGGCAACCCUGAUCCAGCAACGCCGCGUGAAUGAAGAAGGCCUUAGGGUGUAAAGUUCUUUUGUCAGGGAAGAAAAGGCUUGUGCUAAUAUCAUAAGCUGCUGACGGUACCUGAAGAAUAAGCACCGGCUAACUACGUGCCAGCAGCCG
Molecule: ribosomal RNA, 493 nt
Filed under: uncultured bacterium
Lineage: Bacteria
Description: bacterial SSU rRNA
Rfam family: Bacterial small subunit ribosomal RNA
Source: RNAcentral